GGGUCAGUGAUGAUAACUUAUUGUCCUUAAGUGAGAUAAUGACCUGAAAAUCAUAACCAAUAGAAUUUUGAUGGAGAUAAACCU
Molecule: small nucleolar RNA, 84 nt
Organism: Catagonus wagneri (Chacoan peccary)
Lineage: Eukaryota; Metazoa; Chordata; Mammalia; Artiodactyla; Tayassuidae
Gene: SNORD115
Rfam family: Small nucleolar RNA SNORD115
About the family: HBII-52 is a member of the C/D class of snoRNAs, which contain the C (UGAUGA) and D (CUGA) box motifs. HBII-52 is encoded in a tandemly repeated array with another C/D snoRNA, HBII-85, in the Prader-Willi syndrome (PWS) region of chromosome 15. HBII-52 is exclusively expressed in the brain but is absent in PWS patients.
Source: Ensembl